RNAcentral lists this ribosomal RNA (443 nucleotides) under Echinocardium cordatum (sea potato). RNAcentral describes it as "partial 16S ribosomal RNA". It matches the Rfam family "Bacterial large subunit ribosomal RNA", at positions 1822 to 2462 of the family's 2925-position model. Lineage: Eukaryota; Metazoa; Echinodermata; Echinoidea; Spatangoida; Loveniidae. The record is from RNAcentral.
CCUGCAAAAUAAACAUAGGGGGUCCUGCCUGCCCAGUGACUGCAAAGUUUAACGGCCGCGGUAUCUUGACCGUGCGAAGGUAGCAUAAUCAUUUGUCUCCUAAAUAGAGACUGGUAUGAAUGGCAAGACGGAGCUUCACUGUCUCCUCCUCUUUGAUCUGAACUUCACAUUCCCGUGAAGAGGCGAGAAUUAGUUCGUAAGACGAGAAGACCCUGUCGAGCUGUAGCUAAAUUUUAAUUGUUAUUUACUAUUAGCCCUAACUAAUUAUAAUAAGAAUAGUGGACCUAAAGCAUGACAAAUUAAAACAAGCUUUGAUUGGGGCAAUCCCGGAGAAAGAAAAUCCUCCGCUACUAUAUGGUUAUAUUAACCUAAAAUAAAAGAAUUAUUUUUCUUAAAUCAUAAAAAUGAAGAUAUGAUCCACUUACAGUGAUCAAAAGAACAAG